Molecule: ribosomal RNA, 2213 nt
Filed under: Salmonella enterica subsp. enterica serovar Typhimurium
Lineage: Bacteria; Pseudomonadati; Pseudomonadota; Gammaproteobacteria; Enterobacterales; Enterobacteriaceae
Description: partial 23S ribosomal RNA
Rfam family: Bacterial large subunit ribosomal RNA
Source: RNAcentral
AGACCCGAAACCCGGUGAUCUAGCCAUGGGCAGGUUGAAGGUUGGGUAACACUAACUGGAGGACCGAACCGACUAAUGUUGAAAAAUUAGCGGAUGACCUGUGGCUGGGGGUGAAAGGCCAAUCAAACCGGGAGAUAGCUGGUUCUCCCCGAAAGCUAUUUAGGUAGCGCCUCGUGAAUUCAUCUCCGGGGGUAGAGCACUGUUUCGGCUAGGGGGCCAUCCCGGCUUACCAACCCGAUGCAAACUGCGAAUACCGGAGAAUGUUAUCACGGGAGACACACGGCGGGUGCUAACGUCCGUCGUGAAGAGGGAAACAACCCAGACCGCCAGCUAAGGUCCCAAAGUCAUGGUUAAGUGGGAAACGAUGUGGGAAGGCCCAGACAGCCAGGAUGUUGGCUUAGAAGCAGCCAUCAUUUAAAGAAAGCGUAAUAGCUCACUGGUCGAGUCGGCCUGCGCGGAAGAUGUAACGGGGCUAAACCAUGCACCGAAGCUGCGGCAGCGAACGUAUCACCCAAGACAACUUUACGGAGUUGACGAUUGACGGAGCGAAGCGACGUCAAAGCGUUCAUUAAAGUCGAGUUGGCUUAGGGAUACGUUCGUUGGGUAGGGGAGCGUUCUGUAAGCCUGUGAAGGUGUGUCGUGAGGCAUGCUGGAGGUAUCAGAAGUGCGAAUGCUGACAUAAGUAACGAUAAAGCGGGUGAAAAGCCCGCUCGCCGGAAGACCAAGGGUUCCUGUCCAACGUUAAUCGGGGCAGGGUGAGUCGACCCCUAAGGCGAGGCCGAAAGGCGUAGUCGAUGGGAAACGGGUUAAUAUUCCCGUACUUGGUGUUACUGCGAAGGGGGGACGGAGAAGGCUAUGUUGGCCGGGCGACGGUUGUCCCGGUUUAAGCGUGUAGGUGUGUGUUCCAGGUAAAUCCGGUUCACUUUAACACUGAGGCGUGACGACGAGGCACUACGGUGCUGAAGCAACAAAUGCCCUGCUUCCAGGAAAAGCCUCUAAGCAUCAGGUAACAUCAAAUCGUACCCCAAACCGACACAGGUGGUCAGGUAGAGAAUACCAAGGCGCUUGAGAGAACUCGGGUGAAGGAACUAGGCAAAAUGGUGCCGUAACUUCGGGAGAAGGCACGCUGACACGUAGGUGAAGUGAUUUACUCAUGGAGCUGAAGUCAGUCGAAGAUACCAGCUGGCUGCAACUGUUUAUUAAAAACACAGCACUGUGCAAACACGAAAGUGGACGUAUACGGUGUGACGCCUGCCCGGUGCCGGAAGGUUAAUUGAUGGGGUCAGCGCAAGCGAAGCUCCUGAUCGAAGCCCCGGUAAACGGCGGCCGUAACUAUAACGGUCCUAAGGUAGCGAAAUUCCUUGUCGGGUAAGUUCCGACCUGCACGAAUGGCGUAAUGAUGGCCAGGCUGUCUCCACCCGAGACUCAGUGAAAUUGAACUCGCUGUGAAGAUGCAGUGUACCCGCGGCAAGACGGAAAGACCCCGUGAACCUUUACUAUAGCUUGACACUGAACAUUGAGCCUUGAUGUGUAGGAUAGGUGGGAGGCUUUGAAGUGUGGACGCCAGUCUGCAUGGAGCCGACCUUGAAAUACCACCCUUUAAUGUUUGAUGUUCUAACGUGGACCCGUAAUCCGGGUUGCGGACAGUGUCUGGUGGGUAGUUUGACUGGGGCGGUCUCCUCCUAAAGAGUAACGGAGGAGCACGAAGGUUGGCUAAUCCUGGUCGGACAUCAGGAGGUUAGUGCAAUGGCAUAAGCCAGCUUGACUGCGAGCGUGACGGCGCGAGCAGGUGCGAAAGCAGGUCAUAGUGAUCCGGUGGUUCUGAAUGGAAGGGCCAUCGCUCAACGGAUAAAAGGUACUCCGGGGAUAACAGGCUGAUACCGCCCAAGAGUUCAUAUCGACGGCGGUGUUUGGCACCUCGAUGUCGGCUCAUCACAUCCUGGGGCUGAAGUAGGUCCCAAGGGUAUGGCUGUUCGCCAUUUAAAGUGGUACGCGAGCUGGGUUUAGAACGUCGUGAGACAGUUCGGUCCCUAUCUGCCGUGGGCGCUGGAGAACUGAGGGGGGCUGCUCCUAGUACGAGAGGACCGGAGUGGACGCAUCACUGGUGUUCGGGUUGUCAUGCCAAUGGCACUGCCCGGUAGCUAAAUGCGGAAGAGAUAAGUGCUGAAAGCAUCUAAGCACGAAACUUGCCCCGAGAUGAGUUCUCCCUGAGA